Long non-coding RNA from Gossypium raimondii (Peruvian cotton), 309 nucleotides. RefSeq lists it as uncharacterized. The record is from RefSeq and is a predicted model, not a curated record. Lineage: Eukaryota; Viridiplantae; Streptophyta; Magnoliopsida; Malvales; Malvaceae. The transcript has 3 exons.
GGGGAAGCCAUAGUUAGGGUUUUCAAGCUUCCAAGCUCCAUAAUCAAGAAGUACGAAACUCGAGGUUAGACAAAGGGAAGAAUAAAGUUGAAGGCUAAGUUGGUGAAUUUGGCUAUAAUUGGUACCGAGUAUUGCAAAGCUACUUCAAGGAUCCUAAAGAAGUCGGAGAUCGUCCACACUAUCAACUACAACUGCUCGGUAUUUUAUAUCAAAACACGUUUGAGUUAUGGCAUGUAUAGGGAUUUAGUUAUUUUGUAUGUUUGUAAUGAUGAUUUUGCUAAUGAGUGAUGUGUAAGUAUUUGAUGAUGU